CCCUUAGAUGUCCUGGGCCGCACGCGCGCUACACUGACAUGUUCAACAAGCCUCCUAGUUCGACAGGAUUUGGGAAAUCUUUGAACGCAUGUCGUGAUAGGGAUAGAUCAUUGCAAUUAUUGAUCUUGAACGAGGAAUUCCUAGUAAACGCGAGUCAUCAGCUCGCAUUGAUUACGUCCCUGCCCUUUGUACACACCGCCCGUCGCACCUACCGAUUGGAUGGUCCGGUGAAGCCUCGGGAUUGUGGUUCUUGCCGCUUUAUUGUGGCGUGGCCGCGAGAACUUGUCUAAACCUUAUCAUCUAGAGGAAGGUGAAGUCGUAACA
This 324-nucleotide ribosomal RNA is filed under the name uncultured eukaryote. RNAcentral describes it as "partial 18S ribosomal RNA". It matches the Rfam family "Eukaryotic small subunit ribosomal RNA", at positions 1470 to 1796 of the family's 1831-position model. The record is from RNAcentral.